UCCCUGGUGGUCUAGUGGCUAGGAUCCGGCGCUCUCACUCACCGUGGCCCGGGUUCGAUUCCCGGUCAGGGAA
Non-coding RNA from Austrofundulus limnaeus, 73 nucleotides. The record is from the annotation of a RefSeq genome assembly. Lineage: Eukaryota; Metazoa; Chordata; Actinopteri; Cyprinodontiformes; Rivulidae.